Molecule: long non-coding RNA, 241 nt
Organism: Neopelma chrysocephalum (saffron-crested tyrant-manakin)
Lineage: Eukaryota; Metazoa; Chordata; Aves; Passeriformes; Pipridae
Exons: 3
Source: RefSeq, a predicted model, not a curated record
AAUGGUAUUGCAAACUUGUUCUCUGUAUAUCUCUUCUAGUUUCAUCAUUGACUUCCAGAGUCUGUACCUUGAAAGGUGUAGGGUAUUCAUAUGAAGCCAGAAUCUGUGCAUUGAAAUCAACAUCACUGUGUGAAGAUAGUGAAACUCAACUUUGACCAAAGACUAUGGAUACUGAAGAUACAGUCCUCAGAAGCACCUUUGUACAUCUUACACAACAAGAUAAAACUGAGCACCAUGACUC